Molecule: transfer RNA, 65 nt
Filed under: Dipodomys ordii (Ord's kangaroo rat)
Lineage: Eukaryota; Metazoa; Chordata; Mammalia; Rodentia; Heteromyidae
Rfam family: tRNA
About the family: Transfer RNA (tRNA) molecules are approximately 80 nucleotides in length. Their secondary structure includes four short double-helical elements and three loops (D, anti-codon, and T loops). Further hydrogen bonds mediate the characteristic L-shaped molecular structure. tRNAs have two regions of fundamental functional importance: the anti-codon, which is responsible for specific mRNA codon recognition, and the 3' end, to which the tRNAs corresponding amino acid is attached (by aminoacyl-tRNA synthetases). tRNAs cope with the degeneracy of the genetic code in two manners: having more than one tRNA (with a specific anti-codon) for a particular amino acid; and 'wobble' base-pairing, i.e. permitting non-standard base-pairing at the 3rd anti-codon position.
Source: Rfam by way of RNAcentral
GGUGACUCAGUGGUAGAGUGCUUGCCUUGCAUUCAUGAGGCCCUGGGUUCAAUUCCUCAGCACCA